Non-coding RNA from Heterocephalus glaber (naked mole-rat), 557 nucleotides. Lineage: Eukaryota; Metazoa; Chordata; Mammalia; Rodentia; Bathyergidae. The record is from the annotation of a RefSeq genome assembly.
AUGGACAUGAAGGUUCCCGCUCAGCUCCAGGGGCUCUUGCUGCUCUGGCUCCCAGGUACCAGAUAUGACAUCCAGAUGAAGCAGUCUCCAUCCUCCCUCUCUGUAUCUCCUGGAGAAACAGUCACCAUCACUUGCAGAACCAGUCAGAACAGUUACAGUGGUUUACAUUGGUAUCAGCAGAAACCAGGGAAAGUUCCUAAACUCCUGAUCUAUGCUGCUAGCAGUUUGCAAUCUGGGGUCCCACCGAGGUUCAGUGGCAGUGGAUCUGGGACACACUAUUCACUCUUCUUCAGUAGUGUGGAGGCUGAAGAUGUUGCAACUUAUUACUGUCAGCAUGAUUAUGAGUUCCCUCCCACAGUGAUACAAACCAUAACAGAAGCCACCUAGGGAAGCAGAAGUGUGAGGCUGAGCUGCCCCAGCUGCUCCUCCUGGUGUCCCCUCCUCCUGACAGCAUUUCUCAGAUGUAGACAGGUUUUGAAGUUCACUUGGAGGAUUUGGGAGAAGGGUCAAGGAGGCUCCACUGCAUCCUAUCUCUCCAUCUCUUCCUUGGGCCCAGC